This is a long non-coding RNA of Daphnia pulicaria, 771 nucleotides long. RefSeq lists it as uncharacterized. The transcript has 2 exons. The record is from RefSeq and is a predicted model, not a curated record. Lineage: Eukaryota; Metazoa; Arthropoda; Branchiopoda; Diplostraca; Daphniidae.
UUGCCUGAUUAUAGUGACAUUGCCUAAUCUAAAGUGUUUUUCCUGUUGAAACCACAGAAGUUUUCAUUACCACAAAUGGAUAGAAAGUUGGAUGUAACAAAUGUUACGCAUUCCUUACAAAUCAACAUAAAUCCUAGUCAAGAAAGUACAACCUUUCUUCAUUAUUACAAAAUCUAUUGAGGCACCACAACUAAAAAGCUGAGAAAUAAUAAUAAUAAUUGAAAAAACAAACAUUUAACAUCAAUCACCUAGAUUUAAAAAAAAGAUAUAUUACCUUUGAACUAUAUGCUGAGGGUAAAACACCACACUUGCACUUCAAAUUUUCGUAAUCUCAUUGCCCUUCAGUUAUUCAAGUCUGUAUGAGUACGACAGUAUAAAGAGUCACCGUAUUAAUAGAAGUUAAUCCACAGCACUCUGGUCACUUCUCAACUACAAAGGAUGACGAUCUGUUCAUUUUUUAUUUUCCUUAUCUUGUUGACAUCCGUGUUCGCUCGAUCAUGGAAGAUUGGUGACAACGGUCUGGUACGCUGGGACAACAAUUGUCAUUUUCCUGGCUACGUGAUGACCCAAAGAGACGUUCUUAGCGAGGAUUGUGGAAAAACCUGCAUUUCACUGCCCUUUUGUACUCACUUUACUCAUGCAGGUAGAACCUGUUACCUCAAGAGAAAUACGGACGGAUGGAGGGAAAUCGAUGAGGAUAACAACACUUGUGGUUUUAUCCCUGGUCGUAGCUUACAGCCUCUACGCAAAAAAACAUUUCAUUUAUCUGAC